CAGUCGCCGCGGGAAUACGGAGGGGGCUAGCGUUGUUCGGAAUUACUGGGCGUAAAGCGCACGUAGGCGGCUUGGUAAGUUAGAGGUGAAAGCCUGGAGCUCAACUCCAGAAUUGCCUUUAAGACUGCCGAGCUAGCAGGUGAGAGAGGUAAGUGGAAUUCCGAGUGUAGAGGUGAAAUUCGUAGAUAUUCGGAAGAACACCAGUGGCGAAGGCGGCCUACUGGCUCAUACUGGACGCUGAGGUGCGAAAGCGUGGGGAGCAAACAGGAUUAGAUACCCGCGUAGUCCCUGUCUCUUAUAC
Molecule: ribosomal RNA, 301 nt
Filed under: uncultured bacterium
Lineage: Bacteria
Description: partial 16S ribosomal RNA
Rfam family: Bacterial small subunit ribosomal RNA
Source: RNAcentral